RNAcentral lists this ribosomal RNA (54 nucleotides) under Niesslia indica. RNAcentral's name for it is "Monocillium indicum partial 28S ribosomal RNA". Lineage: Eukaryota; Fungi; Ascomycota; Sordariomycetes; Hypocreales; Niessliaceae. The record is from RNAcentral.
AGUUUGACCUCGGAUCAGGUAGGCAUACCCGCUGAACUAAAGCAUAUCAAUAAG